This is a long non-coding RNA of Tympanuchus pallidicinctus (lesser prairie-chicken), 1269 nucleotides long. RefSeq lists it as uncharacterized. The record is from RefSeq and is a predicted model, not a curated record. The transcript is spliced from 3 exons. NCBI's taxonomy places the organism in Eukaryota, Metazoa, Chordata, Aves, Galliformes, Phasianidae.
CAGUGGAACUUUAGCAACAAACCAGACAACCUAGUUUAGUUUUGAUUCAUUGCCACAAAGGAGCUAGAUCGAAUCUCACUUCUUGAGCAGUCGUAAAAUUCUCUUCUGCUGCUCACUGCUGUGCACCGACGCUCUGAAAUGCAGAAUUCCAGGCACAUGUAAGAAAACACCAACUUGCCAUGGAAGAUUUAUUGAUCUAACAUUUGCUUGGCCAAAAGGUUCUGCCUUGGUGUAACAGGAUCAGCGCUCAGCUGGGGCUUCUGGAUGCUGCUCUACCACAAGCAAAACAAAAAGAACAGUCAGAUGAAAUGAACGGUAUCUUUUUAAAUAGUUUUGUGACUCAGAUUCAGAGCUGAAUUUUGUUUCAAGGCAACGUCAGUUUAGCAUUACUACAUUAAAAAUUAAAGAUAGUGACUCCCACAACUUGAAUUUCCUAUUUACUCUUCUGGCUGAAUUUCCUCAGCUAUAACAUCAUCAAACUGUGCCAGAAAGGGGGUCAGAUGUGUGUGUGUGUACUGACAAACGCUUCUCACAACUGAAGAAAUUACCAUUUUGCACUGCAGUACCUUUUUUCUCCUCAAAUAAUCUUAUUGAUUUGUUUUGUUAAUAAAAAAGGACAGAUCCCUGCUGUUUUUUCAGUGGAUAAUCAUUCAUUUAGUUUAGAUUCUGAAGCUGCUAAUAUACUGCUGGUGUCUAAGAAGCCUGGGUCUCCUCUUUGUUAAAUGAAAGCCACAAACAAAGCACAUUCCAAUUACAGAAUUUUCAUUCUGAAAGCUUUGGUAAAAGAAUAUGGAAAGCUAAGGGCUGAACAGCAGUUUGGCUCAAGCUUGAGUAGAGAUAGAAUGUUCUCACCAAAAUAGAAACAUAAAAUUGCAUUAAAUUUUUUGUCCUUCAAAUCUAGCCUUUUUGUCUCUAUUGUUAUCAACACGAGAUAAAUGAGAAGUUCAGAACAGUGCUUGACUGCCCUUGAUCAAGGACUGAGCAGCAGGUAAGGACUAACGCCCCAUUCUGGCACAGCAUAAAGCACUUUUAUCUUAAAGCAUCUCUCAACAGCUCCACAACUUUCUGCCCCGAUUUGAGGCACCUGAGCAGAUUGCUGCAUGGAACCUCGUUACAAUUCAGAUGCACACAGAAACAGAUGACUGACCAAGAACUGUGUCAUUAAACAUACUGCUCUGGAUGCUCGCAUUUCCUGCUGUUGUUUUUUUUAACCCCAAGCAGCUGUAUCCUUCAUCUCAAAAAAAGCUGAAGCCUCAUCAUAUAAAAUAG